CAGGGAGACCUUACCCACCUCAACUCGAAAGCACAAAGCAAAUAGAGAGAGGAUUGGUCAACCUAGGUCGGUCGAGGAAUUUGUGUGGCUCUCAAACUUGUCUGGGUUUACUUCUAAGAAGAAGGGAAACGAGGGCUAUUAGCUCAGGUGGUUAGAGCGCACCCCUGAUAAGGGUGAGGUCCCUGGUUCGAGUCCAGGAUGGCCCACCUUCAAAACGCUCAAGAGAGAGAUACCUCUUGGGGUAGCUUUGUCUCUAAAAACAGACUUCUGCAUAAAGAAGUCGAAAGUUUUGCCUUCAAAGAAGAAAGACAACAUGAGUUCAGCAACUUCUAACGAUUCAAACGAUUCAGAAGCCUGCUGAACUAAUGUUCAGCCAGAACCUUGAAAACUGCAUAGCAACAAAAGCCAAAGCAAGGUAGUCGAGAGUCAACAGCGAUCAAGCUACAAAGGGCUCACGGU
This 459-nucleotide transfer RNA is filed under the name Limnothrix planktonica KLL-C001. Its description in RNAcentral is "16S-23S ribosomal RNA intergenic spacer". The stretch from base 133 to 206 matches the Rfam family "tRNA". Lineage: Bacteria; Bacillati; Cyanobacteriota; Cyanophyceae; Pseudanabaenales; Pseudanabaenaceae. The record is from RNAcentral.